CCCCCCCCAGCCUCUCCAACCUCACCUUUUGCCCGUCGCGCCGUCGAAAUGACUCUUUUUUAUUGCAGUUCAUAAACAGCGACUCCCCCGGCGGCCCUGGGAAAUUUCCCAUAAACUUUGAUCAAACAGGCGUUAGCCUCCCUGGUCCUGGAGCCGCUCUCCACGCGCAUGAAAACGGCUCCGCUCAAUCACAGGCAGAGACAACACGCCGGAAACAGUGCAAAUAGCAAGGCAGUCGCAGAUAUAUCAAGUCAUUAUUGACCAGAACACCGGGGGAAUAGAUCUCAUAUAAAAACAAUAAGUUACUCUUGUUUUUCUCCUUUUCUUCCUCCUCUCCCCAUCUCCCCUCCCCUCUCUUGGCGGAGGCGGAAAUAAAAGGCGAGGCACUGGCGGUAAACUUUGUGGCUUAAAAUUAAUAGCUUUGAGGGGAGCUCAGGUGAGCGCGCCAAAGUGAUAAAAAGCAUCCAAAAUAGAAGCCGGCGGUUGAUUUAAGUGAGUGUGCGUAAGAUGCCGGAUCCUCAUAGGCUUUUUUUUUUCACUUUCCUUUUCCGCUUCCUUGUCUCGUUUAGCCGAGUUGUCAGCCCGGCUCCUCUCGCAGUGGAGGCCUCGCCGCGCCCCCUGUCCGGUAGUCGUGGUCGUUGUGUUGCUGGAUUGUCCAUGAUGAACGACAACACCGCUAACACCUUUACUUGAUUGUGGCUAGAGAUCCGGUUUAGGAAAGGCCAAAGGUCAUUGACAGGGUUUAGGUUGUGCACAACGUUGUGGUUUUCUCUCCGUGUCUCGUUCAGGAUGCAACCUGACAUGUUUGAUGUUUGCAAGUGAACAAAAUACAUUUAAAAAAGAGAGUUUUCCCCCAGAAUGGACUCAUUAUUUACUUAACAGUUGGGACAAAUAAAGUAAACUGAUGAUGCUUUAUGUUCCUUUUCUUUAAAUAAAUGAUAUUUAUCUCUGCCCUUUAUUAUUUUAGAUUGUUUUUUAAAUCUUGAAAACAGCAUUAUAGCAUGUUUUAAUAAAACAAUGUAAUUAAUAUAUUAUUAUAAUGUAAUUAAUAAUUAUUAUUCUAUUACCCAAUUUCCUUUUGAGCAAGGAGGAAUCCCAAAGUACUCAGUACUUUUAUUGGACAUCAUUUCACCUUUUCAUUCUUCAAUAGAAAUAGAAUUGUUCCAGAGUUAUUGUUACUGGGGGGGGGGAGGGGGGGGGUCCUCAAAGGGACAGACUCCCCCUCCUCUGCUUCUCAUCGGCCCGAUGACCCAAUGUCUGUCACUUCUUUUCUAUAGGAGCCUCAGCAGAGCAUGACGCAGCGCAGCUAUAGUUACUCCUUUGCCAUUGUUUGUUUGUGGGGCUCAGCCUGGGUCCUCAUAUCGCCCCCGUACCCCUGCGCCCCCGUACCCUGCCAACUCCUCACCUUGCCCUCCCCUGCAUCUCAUGACUCAACCUCCCCUGUCUUUUAUACUCCGUUAGCCGCGUGAGUUACUUCUGUCUGCCCCCUCGCCGCUAACCCUCUCGCAGGCCUAGUUGGAGGGGACAGCGGCUCCGCCCUGCAGGGUCGCACCGCGUUACAACGGAGAAGGCUGCUACUGGGCGACACAUCCCUCCGUCCUGAUCACUCUUAUCCAUCUAUUUAUACACACCGUGCAUACAUAUCUAGGCUCAGCCGCUGUCGUUGUCUGAGCCUCUUUAUACCUCCUUCUUUCUCCUCUCGGGGGUCAGAAUGCAACCCGGAGCCAGCAGCAGGCUGGAGAUUGUCAGCAGGAAGCCCAGAAGAAGAAAUGUGGGCUCGAUGCCUCUAGUUCAUUAUGACUCAGGAUGUGAGCAGCAGCAGUGUGUGUUGACAUUGUCAUAGUUAUCAGGGGAACAUCUGUGUACAGCCUGUCACAGGUGUGUGUUAUUGUGUGCAUAGCGGAGAGGGACACGUUUGUGUGCCUGCAUGCAUAUAUACGUAUACCGCAGCGCCUCCUUCUUUUGUGUGUGUGUGUGUGUGUAUUUUCACGUGUCCAUGUGGAGGCUGAUGGUUCCCGGUUUGGAUGGCGGCGUCUCUGCACCCGAGGGGUCUGCUGAGAUCUGCCUCUGUGUAGGAUCAAAGGGGAGGGGGGGGGGGCUGCUGCCGCGGCGCCCAGCCAGCCUGCCGGCACGCCAGCUGCAAUCCCUAAUGCCUCCGCCACAUCCUUGGCAGGAUGCGCCUCUGCCCCUUUCUUAUUUCUUCCUCCCAGUUCUCCGUCUUGGCAAAAAGUGAGGGAGGGAAAAAGGCGCAGCCUUCGUCACCUUGCAUACCUCUCAUUCCUGAUUCCUCCUCUUCACGCCUUCGGGAUGCGUUGGAUACAUCGAUGCCAUCAGACGGCAGUGUUUGACCAGAGACGCCGUUUCUGCUCGGCCCCUAAACCGACCCCCAAACAGCGUGUUUAUGGGUAAUUGGGCUGGAAGCAGUGGCAGGACGUACACGAACACACCCAGCGGCGCCCCUAAAUCCUGCCGCAAUGCUGCGCAGAGAAACAUCUGACGCGGUGGAGUUUCAUCGGAACGCCUGUUUGCCCUUUUACUUGUGUCAAUGUUUACAAAUGUGUUUGAAUUAUUUGGCAUGGCUCACGGUGUUUGUCCUUUACUGCGCGUAAGAGGAUGUUGAUAUUCUUAGGAAAAAGUGUUAUGAGAGCAGUCAGUAAAAGUCGAUUCCCAUAAACAGGCUAACUUGAGACAUCUGUUGUUCGAGACACUUGAAUCACUAUUUACUGUUUUGCAAAUUUCCAACGCACAUCACUCCCUGUGCUUUUUGUUUUUGUUGUUACUCUCUGGCAAGUGGGAGAAUUUGUUGUGUUUUCUCGGGGUGUUAUUACGGCAGAGUUUGGGGGACUGUCAAAGGGGGGCGAGGCGCCGCGCAGUUAAACUGGGACUCUCAGUACCCAUCAGGCCCCUGUGACUCUCUGUGAAGGCGACGCGCCACAGAAGGCGCCGUGCACAGAAAAAGUCACAUCCCGUUAGCAGACAUCCGGCGCGCUAAACAGGUUAAACUGCCGCGCCUGGCACCGCCAAUUGUAUUGAUAGCUGUUUGAAGGCGGCUUCCUCUCCAACCUGCCGUCACGCUUCACACGCUUCAUCCGGUUUGCCACUCCAGGCGAAACUUCAAACCUGGGAGAGCGUGUUUCCCUCCACUGAGGUGGAUGCAGGCGUGGGUGUCUGUGGGCGUCUGUGUUUGUUUAUGUGUGUGUGUGUGUGUGUGUGUGUGUGUGUGUAGCCAGGGGCCUUUACUGUUGUUUGUUUAUGUUGCCUCCAUUCUAUAAAAAGGCCUCUGAUCUCCCCCGGCAUCA
Molecule: long non-coding RNA, 3299 nt
Organism: Gasterosteus aculeatus aculeatus (three-spined stickleback)
Lineage: Eukaryota; Metazoa; Chordata; Actinopteri; Perciformes; Gasterosteidae
Source: Ensembl